UACGUAGGGGGCAAGCGUUGUCCGGAAUCAUUGGGCGUAAAGAGCGUGUAGGCGGUCCGGUCAGUCGGUUGUGAAAGUCAAGGGCUCAACCCUUGAAUGCCGGCCGAUACUGCCGGGCUAGAGUCCGGAAGAGGUGAGUGGAAUUCCUGGUGUAGCGGUGAAAUGCGCAGAUAUCAGGAGGAACACCGAUGGCGAAGGCGGGUCUCUGGACAGUUCCUGACGCUGAGGCACGAAGGCCAGGGGAGCAAACGGG
RNAcentral lists this ribosomal RNA (253 nucleotides) under uncultured bacterium. Its description in RNAcentral is "partial 16S ribosomal RNA". It matches the Rfam family "Bacterial small subunit ribosomal RNA", at positions 524 to 776 of the family's 1533-position model. The record is from RNAcentral.